UGAAACUGCGAAUGGCUCAUUAAAACAGUUAUAGUUUAUUUGAUAAUUAAAACUACAUGGAUAACCGUAGUAAUUCUAGAGCUAAUACAUGCCCAAAAGCCCGACUUCUGGAAGGGCGGUAUUUAUUAGAUAUCAAACCAUUACCGCAAGGUCUUGUGAUGAUUCAUAAUAACUGAACGAAUCGCAGGUUUCUGCGAUGAAUCAUUCAAGUUUCUGCCCUAUCAGCUUUCGAUGGUAGUGUAUUGGACUACCAUGGCAGUCACGGGUAACGGAGAAUUAGGGUUCGAUUCCGGAGAGGGGGCCUGAGAAAUGGCUACCACAUCUAAGGAAGGCAGCAGGCGCGUAAAUUACCCAAUCCUGAUUCAGGGAGGUAGUGACAAGAAAUAACAACUCGGGUUCCGCAAGGGAUUACGAGAUUGCAAUGAGAACAAUUUAAACCACUUAUCGAGGAACAAUUGGAGGGCAAGUCUGGUGCCAGCAGCCGCGGUAAUUCCAGCUCCAAUAGCGUAUAUUAAAGUUGUUGCAGUUAAAAAGCUCGUAGUUGAAUUUCUAAUUGGAAUGCUAAACGGCUUCGGUCUUUAGUAUUCUCAAUUAUCCGUAUGCGAAACCAACUCGCACUUCACCGUGUGGUUGAUGUAGCAUACAAUUUACUUUGAAAAAAUUAGAGUGUUUCAGGCAGGCAAUUGCUAGAAUACACAAGCAUGGAAUAAUGGAAUAGGACUUUGAUCUAUUUUAUUGGUAUAUUAGAUCAAGGUAAUGAUUAAUAGGGACAGUUGGGGGCAUUAGUAUUUAAUUGUCAGAGGUGAAAUUCUUGGAUUUAUUAAAGACUAACUUAUGCGAAAGCAUUUGCCAAGGAUGUUUUCAUUAAUCAAGAACGAAAGUUAAGGGAUCAACGACGAUCAGAUACCGUCCUAGUCUUAACCAUAAACUAUACCGACUCUGGAUUGGUGAAGCUUUCUAAACUUCAUCAGCACAGUAUGAGAAAUCAAAGUCUUUGGGUUCUGGGGGGGAGUAUGGUCGCAAGGCUGAACUUAAAGGAAUUGACGGAAGGGCACCACCAGGAGUGGAGCCUGCGGCUUAAUUUGACUCAACACGGGGAACUUACCAGGUCCAGACAUAGUUAGGAUUGACAGAUUGAGAGCUCUUUCUUAAUUCUAUGGGUGGUGGUGCAUGGCCGUUCUUAGUUGGUGGAGUGAUUUGUCUGGUUAAUUCCGUUAACGAACGAGACCUUAACCUGCUAAAUAGUUAUCAUAUAGAUAUAUAUGAUUAACUUCUUAGAGGGACUAUGUACGCAAGUGCAUGGAAGUUUGAGGCAAUAACAGGUCUGUGAUGCCCUUAGAUGUCCUGGGCCGCACGCGCGCUACACUGACACAUUCAACAAGUUCUAUCCUGCCUCGGAAGAGGUGGGUAAUCUUAGGAAUGUGUGUCGUGAUGGGGAUAGAUCUUUGGAAUUAUAGAUCUUCAACGAGGAAUUCCUAGUAAGCAUAAGUCAUCAGCUUGUGCUGAUUACGUCCCUGCCCUUUGUACACACCGCCCGUCGCUCCUACCGAUUUUGAGUGAUCCGGUGAACCUUUUGGACUGUGCUGUAGUCUCGUGCUACAGCGUGGGAAGUUAAGUAAACCUUAUCACUUAGAGGAAGGAGAAGUCGUAACAAGGUUUCU
Molecule: ribosomal RNA, 1661 nt
Filed under: Bursaria sp. 2 MD-2011
Lineage: Eukaryota; Ciliophora; Colpodea; Bursariomorphida; Bursariidae
Description: SSU rRNA
Rfam family: Eukaryotic small subunit ribosomal RNA
Source: RNAcentral